AAGAAUUCCGUGUGAAGGUACUGUCAAUGGCUUCAGAGUUGUCAAACAUUUUAAAAUACGUUAUUCACAGACUAUUUUUGCUAACCUUCUCACAAGACGCGGUUGCAGAAAUUAAAACGUUAAUGGUUUCUGUGAAAUAUUCAGCCCCACAUCUUUAACAAGAAGAGUAAAGAGAAACGCUAAUCACCUGAUAGUAUCUCUUAGAGAAAAGUCCCCCCGAGGUUGACUGGAAUGAUCCUGGGUGUUACCUAGUCCGAAGGAAAAUAUUUUAGUGGAUGGAGUUUCGCAAACCCUCCCAGUCAGUCGUCCACUACAACUACGCUAUCUGCAACGAAAUGGGGACCCGAUCGGCCCACCAAGGACUCCUGUUAUCAACCGCAACUUCUCUUAUUCACUGUUACAAAAUACAUUCAAAUAUAUGAAUAUGUUUUUAUCUUUACUGCAAUAUCUAAUGCAACAAUAUUCAAUUCCUACUUAAUUGUAUUUGUUUUAUAAAUGAAAUUUAAUAAAAUAUUUGUUAAAGUAAUUUUUCCAACCGCUAAGUUACUUUUGUGGACUAUAUUACAUUUAUCUAUUCGUUUCAUGUGAUUGUUUAUAAAAAUAAAGAUUUAACCUUG
Leptinotarsa decemlineata (Colorado potato beetle) is the source of this 617-nucleotide long non-coding RNA. NCBI's taxonomy places the organism in Eukaryota, Metazoa, Arthropoda, Insecta, Coleoptera, Chrysomelidae. The record is from RefSeq and is a predicted model, not a curated record.